CAGCAGCCACGGUAAUACGAAGGGGGCUAGCGUUGUUCGGAAUCACUGGGCGUAAAGGGUGCGUAGGCGGAUUCUUAAGUCAGGGGUGAAAUCCCGAGGCUCAACCUCGGAACUGCCUUUGAUACUGGGGAUCUUGAGUCCGGAAGAGGUGAGUGGAACUGCGAGUGUAGAGGUGAAAUUCGUAGAUAUUCGCAAGAACACCAGUGGCGAAGGCGGCUCACUGGUCCGGAACUGACGCUGAGGCACGACAGCGUGGGGAGCAAACAGGAUUAGAUACCCCAGUAGUCCCUGUCUCUUAUAC
RNAcentral lists this ribosomal RNA (301 nucleotides) under uncultured bacterium. RNAcentral describes it as "partial 16S ribosomal RNA". It matches the Rfam family "Bacterial small subunit ribosomal RNA", at positions 509 to 807 of the family's 1533-position model. The record is from RNAcentral.